GACGAACGCUGGCGGCGUGCUUAACACAUGCAAGUCGAACGGAAAGGCCCUGCUUUUGUGGGGUGCUCGAGUGGCGAACGGGUGAGUAACACGUGAGUAAUCUGCCCUUGACUUUGGGAUAACUUCAGGAAACUGGGGCUAAUACCGGAUAGGAGCUCCUGCUGCAUGGUGGGGGUUGGAAAGUUUCGGCGGUUGGGGAGGGACUCGCGGCUUAUCAGCUUGUUGGUGGGGUAGUGGCUUACCAAGGCUUUGACGGGUAGCCGGCCUGAGAGGGUGACCGGCCACAUUGGGACUGGGAUGCGGCCCAGACUCCUACGGGGGGCAGCGGUGGGGAAUAUUGCACAAUGGGCGGAAGCCUGAUGCAGCAACGCCGCGUGCGGGAUGACGGCCUUCGGGUUGUAAACCGCUUUCGCCUGUGACGAAGCGUGGGUGACGGUAAUGGGUAAAGAAGCACCGGCGAACUACGU
RNAcentral lists this ribosomal RNA (467 nucleotides) under uncultured bacterium. Its description in RNAcentral is "partial 16S ribosomal RNA". It matches the Rfam family "Bacterial small subunit ribosomal RNA", at positions 28 to 506 of the family's 1533-position model. The record is from RNAcentral.